GAUUAACCCAAGGUGCGAGCUGGGAUAGGAGCAUGAUGUGCACACUGAUCUAAGCAAAGAACGGCAGAGUGAUGCUUAGGAAUCUGCCUAUUAGUGGGGGAAACAUUUCGAAAGGAAUGCUAAUACCGCAUACGUCCUACGGGAGAAAGCAGGGGAUCUUCGGACCUUGCGCUAAUAGAUGAGCCUAAUUCGGAUUAGCUAGUUGGUGGGGUAAGGUCGUAACAAGGUGACGAUCUGUAGCGGGUCUGAGAGGAUGAUCCGCCACACUGGGACUGAGACACGGACCAGACUCCUACGGGAGGCAGCAGUGGGGAAUAUUGGACAAUGGGCGCAAGCGAGAUCCAGCCAUGCCGCGUGAGUAAAGAAGGUCUUAUGGUUGUGAAGCACUUUAAGAGAGCAGGAGGCUCCUUUAGUUAAUACCUAGAGAUAGUCGGCGUUACUCUCCGCGAAAGCACCGGUCAACUCUGUGCAAGCUCCCGCGAUAUUACGGAGGGUGAAAGCUUUAAUCGGAUUUACUGAGUAAAAAACCGCGCGCAGCCGCCUGAGUAAGCCCAACUUUAAAAUCCCCCGAGCUUAACUCGGGGAAAUGCUUUCCAUCCGGGGUGAGCAAGAGUGGGGGUAGAGGGCGCCAAAAAUUCCCGGUGAAGCCCCUAAAGUGCAGUAGAAAUCCUGUAGCAGUACGGAUGGCCAAGGAAUCUAUAUCGUCUAUUCUCUGCCCGUUAUCUCCCAAAAACGGGGGAGUAAAGGGAAAUAAAAACCCUUGGAAAUCCAGGUUUCAUCCCGAAGUCUACAAGCUUUUGGGGCCUUUUGA
RNAcentral lists this ribosomal RNA (811 nucleotides) under Acinetobacter pittii. RNAcentral describes it as "bacterial SSU rRNA". It matches the Rfam family "Bacterial small subunit ribosomal RNA", at positions 46 to 836 of the family's 1533-position model. Lineage: Bacteria; Pseudomonadati; Pseudomonadota; Gammaproteobacteria; Moraxellales; Moraxellaceae. The record is from RNAcentral.